UCAGCCGCCCCAAAAUCCACCAGCGUCCAUGGCUUCUCAGGCAAUGGACAACCUAUAUUCUCUCCCCUUUCAAACCAUGUCAUGAUUAUUCGAGCUUUCAAGGCUCAAUCUUCAACAAACCUGUUCAGGUCCUCUGCCGACCUGAGCUCCUUUGGCUUCUCUAGCUCGAUUCCACUGUGUUCGAGCUCUGGAAAACUUACCCAUGGUCCAGAUUCGUUCAGUGACCAGACCAUUCCGAGCCUUCUCGUCUCUAUGGUUUCGGAGAAACCCUAAAAAGCUUGAUUCGAGGUUUUUCUUUCCUUAUUUUCUUAGAUCUAUAGCAAAUCUGUGCUCUAUCCUACCUUCUAACAAUUUUCCCUAGCUUUCCCUUUUAAAAUUAGUCUGUUCAAAUUAGGGUUUUCAAAAUGCUAAAAUGAUUCUUCUUCUUCUUUUUCUUUCUUUAUUUGAAUCUGUGUGUUCAUGCCUUGUUCGAGGUGUUUUCGUUUGUUUCUUAUGAUUUGUCAUUAAUAUGCAUAUCUCUCUACCUUUGUUUUAUUACUGCUUCUACUGAUUUUCUAUAAACAUGUUUAUACGCCUAUCUUGCCUACUAAAAUGGUUUACUUUAACUAAAUCUAUUUGGGUUAUCAAACUUGUUUCUUUCACUGUUUCUUAAACUCCGAACUGGUUUGAGUUUUAUUUUUCCUGAAACGUUUUAUUUAAAAACGUUCACUCUAAUGCUUUUGAUUUCUACGUGUGUCUGUAUAUUCCCUCAGGGAACUCUUUAGAGUUCCCCAGGGUUGUUGAGUUUUCCUUUCUUUUUGUGUGUCCU
This 808-nucleotide long non-coding RNA is filed under the name Nicotiana benthamiana. Its description in RNAcentral is "long non-coding RNA (NBEN_LNC036184)". The record is from RNAcentral. Lineage: Eukaryota; Viridiplantae; Streptophyta; Magnoliopsida; Solanales; Solanaceae.